UACGAAGGGGGCUAGCGUUGCUCGGAAUCACUGGGCGUAAAGCGCACGUAGGCGGAUUGUUAAGUCAGGGGUGAAAUCCUGGAGCUCAACUCCAGAACUGCCUUUGAUACUGGCGAUCUUGAGUCCGGGAGAGGUGAGUGGAACUGCGAGUGUAGAGGUGAAAUUCGUAGAGAUGUGGAGGAACACCAGUGGCGAAGGCGACUCUUUGGCCUGUAACUGACGCUGAGGCGCGAAAGCGUGGGGAGCAAACAGG
Molecule: ribosomal RNA, 253 nt
Filed under: uncultured bacterium
Lineage: Bacteria
Description: partial 16S ribosomal RNA
Rfam family: Bacterial small subunit ribosomal RNA
Source: RNAcentral